This 500-nucleotide ribosomal RNA is filed under the name uncultured bacterium. RNAcentral's name for it is "partial 16S ribosomal RNA". It matches the Rfam family "Bacterial small subunit ribosomal RNA", at positions 30 to 523 of the family's 1533-position model. The record is from RNAcentral.
AUUGAACGCUGGCGGAAUGCUUUACACAUGCAAGUCGAACGGCAGCACGGACUUCGGUCUGGUGGCGAGUGGCGAACGGGUGAGUAAUGUAUCGGAACGUGCCCAGUCGUGGGGGAUAACGUAGUGAAAAUUACGCUAAUACCGCAUACGAUCUAUGGAUGAAAGCGGGGGAUCGCAAGACCUCGCGCGAUUGGAGCGGCCGAUAUAAGAUUAGGUAGUUGGCGGGGUAAAGGCCCACCAAGCCAACGAUCUGUAGCUGGUCUGUGAGGACGACCAGCCACACUGGAACUGAGACACGGUCCAGACUCCUACGGGAGGCAGCAGUGGGGAAUUUUGGACAAUGGGCGAAAGCCUGAUCCAGCCAUUCCGCGUGCAGGAUGAAGGCCCUCGGGUUGUAAACUGCUUUUGUACAGAACGAAAAGGUUUCUACUAAUACUAGGAGCUCAUGACGGUACUGUAAGAAUAAGCACCGGCUAACUCCGUGCCAGCAGCCGCCGUAA